RNAcentral lists this transfer RNA (67 nucleotides) under Causus defilippii (snouted night adder). RNAcentral's name for it is "tRNA-Ser". Lineage: Eukaryota; Metazoa; Chordata; Lepidosauria; Squamata; Viperidae. The record is from RNAcentral.
GAGAGGAAAGCAUAUUUGUGUGAUUAACUUGAAAUUAAUAGGUGGCAGUUAAGUCUGUCUCUUCUCG